Molecule: RNA transcript, 1490 nt
Organism: Spodoptera frugiperda (fall armyworm)
Lineage: Eukaryota; Metazoa; Arthropoda; Insecta; Lepidoptera; Noctuidae
Gene name: cytochrome c oxidase subunit 3-like
Exons: 1
Source: RefSeq, a predicted model, not a curated record
ACAAAUAAUACCUAUUAAUUGAUUAAUUUCUUUUUUUUUUUUUUAUUUGUAUUUUUAAUUUUUAAUAUUAUAAAUUAUUAUAUUUUUAAUAAAAAAAGAUUAAAAUCAAAUAAAAAUAUAAAUUUAAAAUUAAAAAAUUUUAAUUGAAAAUGAUAAGUAAUUUAUUUUCAAUUUUUGAUCCAUCAACAAAUUUAUUUAAUAUUUCAUUUAAUUGAAUUAGAACUAUUUUAGGAAUUAUAUUUAUUCCUUAUUCAUUUUGAUUAAUUCCUAAUCGUCAUUUCUUACUUUGAAAUUUUAUUUUAUUAAAACUUCAUAAUGAAUUUAAAACUUUAUUAAAAAAUAAUUAUUUUCAAGGAUCAACUUUUAUUUUUAUUUCAAUAUUCUCAUUUAUUUUAUUUAAUAAUUUUUUAGGUUUAUUUCCUUAUAUUUUUACUAGAACAAGACAUUUAACAUUAUCAUUAUCAAUUUCAUUACCUUUAUGAUUAAGAUUUAUAAUUUAUGGUUGAUUAAAUAAUUCUCAACAUAUAUUUAUUCAUAUAAUUCCUCAAGGAACACCAACUAUUUUAAUACCUUUUAUAGUAUUAAUUGAAACAAUUAGAAAUAUUAUUCGACCUGGAACUUUAGCAGUACGAUUAACAGCUAAUAUAAUUGCAGGACAUUUACUAAUAACUUUAUUAAGAGGAACUGGACCUUCAAUACCAAGAUAUUUUAUUAUAAUUUUAGUUAUAAUUCAAAUUUUAUUAUUAAUCUUAGAAUCAGCAGUCGCUGUAAUUCAAUCUUAUGUAAUUGCUAUUUUAAGUACUUUAUAUUCUAGAGAAGUAAAUUAAUGAAAAUAAAUUUUAAUCACCCAUUUCAUUUAGUAGAUUAUAGACCAUGACCUUUAACAGGAGCUAUUGGAGUAAUAGUUUUAGUUAGAGGAAUAGUAAAAUGAUUUCAUAAUUUUAAUAUAAAUUUAUUAAUUUUAGGAUAUUUUAUUGUAAUUUUAACCAUAUAUCAAUGAUGACGAGAUAUUUGUCGUGAAGGAACAUACCAAGGUAAACAUACAAUUUUAGUAACCAAAGGACUUCGCUGAGGAAUAAUUUUAUUUAUUGUAUCAGAAAUUUUUUUUUAUUUCUUUUUUUGAGCCUUUUUUCAUAGAAGAUUAGCAUGCAAUUAUAGAAAAUAAUAAUUCUCAAAUAACUCAAGGUUUAUUUAUUACAAUUAUUUUAGGAAUUUAUUUUACAAUUCUUCAAGCAUAUGAAUAUUUUGAAGCUCCUUUUACUAUUGCAGAUAGAGUUUAUGGCUCAACAUUUUUUAUAGCAACAGGAUUCCAUGGAUUACAUGUUAUUAUUGGUACAUUAUUUCUUUUAAUUUGCCUAAUUCGUCAUUUAAAUAAUCAUUUUUCAAGUAAUCAUCAUUUCGGAUUUGAAGCAGCAGCUUGAUAUUGACAUUUUGUAGAUGUAGUAUGAUUAUUCCUUUAUAUUUCUAUUUAUUGAUGAGGAAAUUAAUUA